UGGGGAAUCUUCCGCAAUGGACGAAAGUCUGACGGAGCAACGCCGCGUGAGUGAUGAAGGUUUUCGGACUGUAAAACUCUGUUGUCAGGGACGAAGGUGCGAUCUGCGAAUAGUUGAUCGUAUUGACGGUACCUGACGAGGAAGCCACGGCUAACUACGUGCCAGCAGCCGCGGUAAUACGUAGGUGGCAAGCGUUGUCCGGAAUUAUUGGGCGUAAAGAGCAUGUAGGUGGGCUUUUAAGUCCGAUGUGAAAAUGCGGGGCUCAACCCCGUAUGGCAUUGGAUACUGGAAGUCUUGAGUGCAGGAGAGGAAAGGGGAAUUCCCAGUGUAGCGGUGAAAUGCGUAGAUAUUGGGAGGAACACCAGUGGCGAAGGCGCCUUUCUGGACUGUGUCUGACACUGAGAUGCGAAAGCCAGGGGAGCAAACGGGAUUAGAUACCCCGGUAGUCCUGGCCGUAAACGAUGGGUACUAGGUGUAGGAGGUAUCAACCCCUUCUGUGCCGGAGUUAACGCAAUAAGUAUCCCGCCUGGGGAGUACGGCCGCAGGGCUG
Molecule: ribosomal RNA, 550 nt
Filed under: uncultured bacterium
Lineage: Bacteria
Description: bacterial SSU rRNA
Rfam family: Bacterial small subunit ribosomal RNA
Source: RNAcentral